RNAcentral lists this ribosomal RNA (1125 nucleotides) under Enterococcus hirae. RNAcentral's name for it is "bacterial SSU rRNA". It matches the Rfam family "Bacterial small subunit ribosomal RNA", at positions 50 to 1150 of the family's 1533-position model. Lineage: Bacteria; Bacillati; Bacillota; Bacilli; Lactobacillales; Enterococcaceae. The record is from RNAcentral.
UAUACAUGCAAGUCGAACGCUUCUUUUUCCACCGGAGCUUGCUCCACCGGAAAAAGAGGAGUGGCGAACGGGUGAGUAACACGUGGGUAACCUGCCCAUCAGAAGGGGAUAACACUUGGAAACAGGUGCUAAUACCGUAUAACAAUCGAAACCGCAUGGUUUUGAUUUGAAAGGCGCUUUCGGGUGUCGCUGAUGGAUGGACCCGCGGUGCAUUAGCUAGUUGGUGAGGUAACGGCUCACCAAGGCGACGAUGCAUAGCCGACCUGAGAGGGUGAUCGGCCACAUUGGGACUGAGACACGGCCCAAACUCCUACGGGAGGCAGCAGUAGGGAAUCUUCGGCAAUGGACGAAAGUCUGACCGAGCAACGCCGCGUGAGUGAAGAAGGUUUUCGGAUCGUAAAACUCUGUUGUUAGAGAAGAACAAGGAUGAGAGUAACUGUUCAUCCCUUGACGGUAUCUAACCAGAAAGCCACGGCUAACUACGUGCCAGCAGCCGCGGUAAUACGUAGGUGGCAAGCGUUGUCCGGAUUUAUUGGGCGUAAAGCGAGCGCAGGCGGUUUCUUAAGUCUGAUGUGAAAGCCCCCGGCUCAACCGGGGAGGGUCAUUGGAAACUGGGAGACUUGAGUGCAGAAGAGGAGAGUGGAAUUCCAUGUGUAGCGGUGAAAUGCGUAGAUAUAUGGAGGAACACCAGUGGCGAAGGCGGCUCUCUGGUCUGUAACUGACGCUGAGGCUCGAAAGCGUGGGGAGCAAACAGGAUUAGAUACCCUGGUAGUCCACGCCGUAAACGAUGAGUGCUAAGUGUUGGAGGGUUUCCGCCCUUCAGUGCUGCAGCUAACGCAUUAAGCACUCCGCCUGGGGAGUACGACCGCAAGGUUGAAACUCAAAGGAAUUGACGGGGGCCCGCACAAGCGGUGGAGCAUGUGGUUUAAUUCGAAGCAACGCGAAGAACCUUACCAGGUCUUGACAUCCUUUGACCACUCUAGAGAUAGAGCUUCCCCUUCGGGGGCAAAGUGACAGGUGGUGCAUGGUUGUCGUCAGCUCGUGUCGUGAGAUGUUGGGUUAAUUCUCGCAACGAGCGCAACCCUUAUUGUAAUUGCCAUCAUUAGUUGGGCACUCUAGCAGACU